AUGGCUGAGUAGUAUUCCAUUGUGUAUAUGUAACACAUAUUCUUUAUUCAGUCCUCUAUCACAGGAUCUUUGGUUGUCUCUAUCAUUCAUUUAAAGCUGCU
Molecule: long non-coding RNA, 101 nt
Organism: Myotis davidii
Lineage: Eukaryota; Metazoa; Chordata; Mammalia; Chiroptera; Vespertilionidae
Exons: 3
Source: RefSeq, a predicted model, not a curated record